AGAUACGUACAACCGUUAGGUGAACAAAACUACUAUACUCUGUAGUAACUGGUUGCAAGAGUAUAAAAAGGGCAGAUCGAACAUUAGAUACACUCGUACACGUAAUACUUCAUUUAGUCAGCGACGUCCAAGUGACCCUUCCGUAGUGACAACGUAGUUGUUUUUGAUCUCUAUUAAUCACACUUGAGGAAUCUUGCUGUUUCAAUGUAAAUGAAAACUCGCCACCUUCCACAACGUGGAUACUAACACAAAUUGGAUUUUUUUUACGAAAAAUACUUUUAUAUGUAUAAAAACAAUAUUCCAAAAUUUAUAAAUAAAAUUAAAUACGAACUCAUAUCAUGUUUAUGAUUUAUUUAUUUUCUUAAAACGCAGAUCACUGUUAAUGUUUUAAACUGUCUCAUCGUUUUUUUCGCAGAUAUGAAAGAGAGUUAAAUUCUCAUACAUUAGGAAAAUUCAUACAUUAUGGUCAACUAUAUUACAAAAAUUUUUGGCAAAAAUCCGAACUUCCUACCUCGAAAAUUUUCACAUCACAUUGUUACUUACCUGUAGGACAUUUAACCAUACAUACUAUAUAACCAUUCGUAUUCAUCUUCAAUAAAUGCAUGAUGUUGGCAACAAACUUCACAUGGCGCAGAGUGAAAGAAAUACAAGAGGACACGAAUGAAACGAAGCCAGCGGAUAUCUCCUUUUUAUAAAAUUGAAAUAAGUGAACUAUAAAUUUUUUAUAUUUUUAUAUAGAACCUCGUAAACAUUAUGAUUCACUUUUUACAUAACAACUCAACCUUCGAAAGUAUAUAUUGGAAAGAACGAUAACCAUAUUCAGAAGGAAAAAAAGAAGAAGGAAGUAACAGAAAAAAAUAAAAAAUUGUUUGAAAUGGAAGGAACCGUUGAAAACGUCGAAAUGCAGGACUCAAACGUGUGUUGUAAUUUGGUGAAUUCAAGCGUUCUAUUAGAGCUGAUAAAAGUGCUGCAGUAAGGUAGAAAUAUGUUAGUCUGAGGACGUGACUAUUAAAAUUGAAAAGUAGUUAAAAAUGGCAAAUCAAGCUUCUUACGCACAGCUACAAACGAAACCAUUAGUUUUCGGAAAAGAUAAAAGAACAGCUGGUAAGUUGAAAAGUGCCGUGUCGCAGUAGUACGAAGAGCUUGACCACCUGGCCGACAGGGAAAUAUUGCGAUAGCGGCGAGGGGUGUGUUAUCUUUAGAAGUUGAAGUUGAUAAUGUAAUAUCUAAUCAUAAAAUAAACAACUAAAUUAUUGUGGAAUAUGAAUUUGUUCAGUAAUUCCAAUUAGAAGUUAAUGCUUGGAAAAUUGUUUCCCCGAGUAGACAAAUAGAAUACACAAAGAGGUCGAAUUUAAAUGCUGCAAUAUCAUAGAGAUGGUGCCAGAAUAUAUAAAUAUUGUAAUUAAUUAAUGAAUACAAUCCUUUAGCUAACACGAGUCAUCACCCUAUUCUACUGAAAAUACUACCAAAAGAUGAUUUUUUUAUUUUCUAUGAGAGUCCAACCCGAUUAUCUGCAGCAGAGCAUGAGAUUGUUAAGAGCCAAGUAAACGAGUGGUUAAGGCUUGGUGUAGUUCGUGAAUCCAACGCAGACAUAGAUAGUAAAGUAAACCUUGCGAAAACCGCUUAGGGAUUUUGUAAGUCGCCAACAGUGUUCAUGCACAUAGCAGAAUUUCAGAUUGGUCAUGUGCAGCAGUAAGCUUUUACUUGAUUUGAAGGCAGCCCUUAUUCAAGAGCGUACGACAUUAGUAGAAGAGCGUGAAGAAAGUGACAUCCUGUAUUUUAUUGGAGUCGCCAAACCUCACCCCAAUAAGAAGAGUCACAUUGUUACUUUCACGAAGUACAACCUGCGUACUUAGCAAAAAAGAAGUUACGCCAUUAUUCAAUGAGAAUUUAGUAUGAUUUAGUUACCGAUUGUGCGGCGUUUAAUCAGACUGCCGCGAAAAAGGAGAAGAACAGCCUAAGCCGUUAUAGAAUUGUGGUCGUUACAUCGCAGAAAAGUACCAAUUUCGAAGGCCAAACAACAUGAUGAUCACAUAAAAGUGAUAGCUGCAAUUCUCAACGAAACACCAUACGCGAAUUACGUCAUGAAAACCGAGGUACUAUACAAGCAUUGAAGGGACGAGACCUAUUUGUAGUACCGCAUAAUAUGGAAAAAGAAAUUAUACGAAACGUUUACAAUUUUGGUAACAUAAACUUUCUGAAAACAAUGCACACGAUCCGACAAGAUAUUAUCACAGCAUAUUUAGAAAUAAAAGAAGCAGCAUAUGUCCGACUGAGUUGAGUGCAGCCAUGUCGAUCAUUUGGAUAUCUUACGUUCCACGUCGAAGUACUCAAGCCCAAAAAAUAAGGUGGCAUUUGAAUUUAAACUGCGCGCUUCGAAGGAUUUGGAGAAA
This 2393-nucleotide long non-coding RNA is filed under the name Bactrocera latifrons. RNAcentral describes it as "uncharacterized LOC108973626". Lineage: Eukaryota; Metazoa; Arthropoda; Insecta; Diptera; Tephritidae. The record is from RNAcentral.